UCCAGACUCCUACGGGAGGCAGCAGUGGGGGAUAUUGCACAAUGGGGGGAACCCUGAUGCAGCGACGCCGCGUGGGUGAAGGAGCGUUUCGGCGCGUAAAGCCCUAUCGGCAGGGAAGAAGGAGGACGGUACCUGACUAAGAAGCCCCGGCUAACUACGUGCCAGCAGCCGCGGUAAUACGUAGGGGGCAAGCGUUAUCCGGAUUUACUGGGUGUAAAGGGGGCGCAGACGGCAGCGCAAGCCAGGAGUGAAAGCCCGGGGCCCAACCCCGGGACUGCUCUUGGAACUGCGCGGCUGGAGUGCAGGAGGGGCAGGCGGAAUUCCUAGUGUAGCGGUGAAAUGCGUAGAUAUUAGGAGGAACACCGGUGGCGAAGGCGGCCUGCUGGACUGUGACUGACGUUGAGGCUCGAAAGCGUGGGGAGCAAACAGGAUUAGAUACCCGCGUAAA
This 448-nucleotide ribosomal RNA is filed under the name uncultured bacterium. RNAcentral describes it as "partial 16S ribosomal RNA". It matches the Rfam family "Bacterial small subunit ribosomal RNA", at positions 330 to 794 of the family's 1533-position model. The record is from RNAcentral.